This is a long non-coding RNA of Musa acuminata AAA Group (dessert banana), 2486 nucleotides long. RefSeq lists it as uncharacterized. The transcript has 2 exons. NCBI's taxonomy places the organism in Eukaryota, Viridiplantae, Streptophyta, Magnoliopsida, Zingiberales, Musaceae. The record is from RefSeq and is a predicted model, not a curated record.
ACUGCUCAUUCGCGGCCCCUUCGUCGUAUUAUGGCAACCGCAUUGCCAACGUUUGCGGGCAAUUCCAUGUUCCGGUCGUCGUGUCUCUGCUUGAUUUCAACUUAUCAGGGAAGAGCAGUAUGUUCCUUGGUAUUUCUUCCCCGUGUCCGCUCGAGUUGUUGAAGAGAAUGAGCGGAUUCUUCACCUCGAAAUGGUCCACAGGUUUGCGUUGCUAGUCAUGUUCUAUUAUGUCCCGAGCAGGCUGUGCUUUUCCUCGAAAUGCGUAUCGUCAGCGUUGCAUCGGCAUAGCAUCAGAUCUGUAUGCGCAUCAGUGAAUCCGAACGACUAACUGAAGAUGUUGGAACGUUGAAUGAUUAGAUUGAGCAUCAAACCCCAAUUUCUAAUGGUAUUUUUCAUCUUCCGAUUGUUUGACAAAAUGCUUAGUCGGUUGCUGCUAAUUAGUCAGAUGUCAUGUUAUCAACGUGAUGAUGAUUAUAUAUUCCAGAGUGUGGAAAGCCAGUUUACAAGAAUAUGUUUCGUCGUCCACUUGUUUGAUAAAAUGCUUCUUCAGUCGUUGCUAUUUAGUUUUGUUACUGGAUCUGAUAAUAUCAAUGUUAUGGUGUUGCUCUUUAUCUGAAAUUCUUUCAUUAAUCGAUCCUUUUGUCCUUACGUUGAGAAGUUUUCAUCUUGUAAACUGGUAAUUGCUUUUCAGUUAUAAUCAUAAACUUGUUGGUUAAUGAAAGGGAAGUGAGGGGCAUAAUCUGUGUCCAUUGCAUUCACAUAAGAAAGGACAUCAAAAGGUUGAUGUUUAUAAAUGCAUUAAAGAGAACUUAAUUUGACUUUUGAACAGAAAAUCAUGAAGCCCAUAUUCAUGAUGAAACACCAACAGUUUGAUUAAUUAAAAAAAUAAAAAGAAAAACAUAGUGGCAUUUGUUGAGUUUCAUAUUUGACAUCUGAAUUCUUGAAAUCUAUAUGGGUGUGAUGACAGUAACCAACUUAAGAAGGAGCUGGACUCAUUCUUGGGAUGCCCAAAUGAUGAUUAAUUAUAAAUUUAGUUCAAUGAGUUUGAUAUCCUUUGUUCGAUGUGUAUUGACUCAAUGAUAUUAUGAGGUCCUGGACAUCUUGAAUGGAUGUUAAAAUCAAAUUUUUUUUCCUUUUAUAUAUUUUCCAACUUUUUUUGCAAUCUAUAUUGCGCCUUGUAUAGUUGACAGCCAAAAAUAUGACUUGAAAGCAAGACUCAUGCUUGAAUCCAUGUAGAUAUGUAAAUUGUGCUAGUUUUCUUGUGAAAAUCUGGCAAAUGAGGGCUGUUCUGGUGGAUUAUAAGUUGUUAGACACAAUGAUGUUAUCAUCCAAUUUUUCUUUCUCAACUUUCUUCAUGUGCUUAUGCUAGGCCCUCUAAGUGGGCAGUAUUAAGUUCAAAAGUCAAGAGAAUUAAGUUUCAUCGAGGUCGUCAUUUUUGUUCGGUUAACCCCAUUUGUUCAACACUUGUAGCCUUGUACUGUCUUAUGAAGCUAAUGGUGAAGUAGUAGCUUAAUAUCACACAAUGAUCUCUUUGGACAUAAUAAUCAAUAGUGGAAAAGUGGCAAAUAUUUUUUCUGCCAUGAAUCCUGGUUAUUCUCUUUUGCCUUAUUUUAGUAGAUUUAACUUUUCAAGUAUCAGUGGUGUAGCAUCCCACAAUUUCUCAGCAUUAUAACCAAAGUACCAGCAAUAUGUGGUUUCAAGAGUUUUUUCAGAACUUCCAUUUACAUGGGAGUCUUGACAAUAGUUUGUCAGGAAGCAAAAGCAGCUCAUGGCACAAUUGCAAAGCUGAGUUGCCAAUAUUUUCUGUUUCAGGUGCUUCAGACUUACAGUUUAAUCAUUAAAGAAAAUCCAAGGAAGAAACAUUUUGUUGUGUACAAAUUCUGGGUGAACUAAGACAAGCUGAAUUUGCACACUGUGUUGCAGCAAAAAUAACUUUUGUCGAGGUGAGAAAAAUAUAAGUGGUAGACAACUCUGGUGCAAAAUUUGUUGUGUAUACAAGCUUUGAGAGGAAGGAGAGAAGCAUGAUUGAGUGAGAGCAUAACCACAAUAAAGGAAGCACAACCUUGCGGUGAAGUAAAGAAGGGGCAUGUUGUUUUCUUGUGUAGUGGUGUGUGGGGAUGAUGUGAUAAUAGUGAGAUCAAGUUUCAUGACAACACUGUAGUCCUUUUGCACAAGCAGAUGGAGCCGUUUGGCACUCUUGUUUUCUCGGCCAAUGCCUCGUGAGAUUAGGAAGAAGAAGCAUGUCAAGGUUCCAACUUUGUCUGAACAUAUCUUGAGUGACCAACUUCCACGGGAUGUUUUACCUCUAUUUAGGAUUCUUCUGCUGGCUAAGUCUUUCACCGAGAUUUUUUUGGUUGGAUAUACUAAAUACUUGUGAAGUGCUUCAUGAUUCUGGAUGCAAAUAUCUUUAUUUCGUAUGUCUUCAUCAGACAUUUUCAUAUGGUUUGUUUGGGAAAAAUAUUUAUGCAACCAAGAUUUUUAUUGAA